CAUUAUUGUGCACGUGAGCCUGACCAAUGUAACGAACAAAGGAAGCUGCAGCAAACAGAAGACGGACGAUCUGAGCAGACGAAGAGCAGCGAGUCUCUCUCUCAACACUCCUGCACUCCUCGUGGUUACUGUUGCUACGACUGGAAAACUUUAUCCAGCGGCAGAAGGACGCCGAUGUCCAUGUGAUUCUUAUCUGUCACAGCUCCAGCUGAUUUAGAGUGUGAGGCUAUGAAGACUAGAGGGUAAUCUGACCUUUGUGGUUCGGACAGGACUGAAACGAUUGCGAGAGACGACCGAGGGAAGUCAGGAGCAUUCUCUCGUAUUGAUCCAAGCCCCCCCACCCCCCGUCAGCUGUGCCGCAAAAGACGUGUUGCUUUGGUUUCGGAGAGGAAGCGAGUCCGUCUGGAAUAUUAUGACGGCGUUGUGGUCACACUGCAGGCUUUCAGAUAGUCGUUGCGGACGGAGCCAGCGGUGGAUCGGGCUUCAAAAGCAGGUUGAUCCGACCGCGGGAACAGCUGAUCUGCUGCCUGCUGCCACAGCGACCCCUCACUCAGUGAUAAUCAAUGUACGGUGUACAGCCGUCGCAGGAGUAUCCAACGGACACUCCGGUUGAGUAAGCAUAAGCUGACAGCUGAGUUAUGCAGAAAGCAUCUUUAUUUAGGGGACAGAGCUCUGAGGGAGACGCCGGAGUCGACUCAUCUUCCAGGAGCGAGGAAAGAAAAAGUGAAGACUGACGCAUGAGCUACAUCUUGUAGCUAUUUUAGCUGGUUUUUUUUUUUUUACAGCACAAAAUUUGACGUGGAAACUUAACAUGAAACUUUUUCCAAGGUUCGAAACACUUUUCUUUCAGAAAGUCUUGACCUUUUUCAUCUUAAUGUGUAAUCAAAAGAAAUGAAAAAAAAAUGCAUUUAAAAGAAUUCAAG
Long non-coding RNA from Acanthopagrus latus (yellowfin seabream), 923 nucleotides. RefSeq lists it as uncharacterized. NCBI's taxonomy places the organism in Eukaryota, Metazoa, Chordata, Actinopteri, Spariformes, Sparidae. The record is from RefSeq and is a predicted model, not a curated record. The transcript has 3 exons.